GAAACUCAUUUGCUGAGUUUAGGAAUGAUAGAGCCCCUUUAGUCCCCAUCGGUGAUUCCUUUGAAAAUUCGGUACAAGUUGUUCGAGAAAUAAAUAGGAUCGUGAACAACCAUUGGGGAGGAGAUUCUUUGACAUAUUCAAGCACUCCACCAGCCACAAAACAACUUUGGUGGAGCGAGUUCAAACGCUUAAAUAAUUGGGACCCGAAUGACGAAAUGGAGAUACGAAGAAUAU
This is a long non-coding RNA of Zingiber officinale, 234 nucleotides long. RefSeq lists it as uncharacterized. The record is from RefSeq and is a predicted model, not a curated record. The transcript has 3 exons. NCBI's taxonomy places the organism in Eukaryota, Viridiplantae, Streptophyta, Magnoliopsida, Zingiberales, Zingiberaceae.